This 497-nucleotide ribosomal RNA is filed under the name uncultured bacterium. RNAcentral's name for it is "partial 16S ribosomal RNA". It matches the Rfam family "Bacterial small subunit ribosomal RNA", at positions 28 to 507 of the family's 1533-position model. The record is from RNAcentral.
GAUGAACGCUGGCGGCGUGCCUAAUACAUGCAAGUCGAGCGAACAGAUGAUGAGCUUGCUCCUCUGACGUUAACGGCGGACGUGUGAGUAACACGUGGAUAACCUACCUAUAAGACUGGGAUAACUUCUUGAAACCGGAGCUAAUACCGUAUAAUAUAUUGAACCGCAUGGUUCAAUAGUUAAAGACGGUUUUGCUGUCACUUCUGGAUGUAUCCGCGCCGCAUUAGCUAGUUGGUAAGGUAACGGCUUACCAAGGCAACGAUGCGUAGCCGACCUGAGAGGGUGAUCGGCCACACUGGAACUGAGACACGGUCCAGACUCCUACGGGAGGCAGCAGUAGGGAAUCUUCCGCAAUGGGCGAAAGCCUGACGGAGCAACGCAGCGUGAGUGAUGAAGGUCUUCGGAUCGUAAAACUCUGUUAUUAGGGAAGAACAAAUGUGUAAGUAACUAUGCACGUCUUGACGGUACCUAAUCAGAAAGCCACGGCUAACUACGUG